RNAcentral lists this long non-coding RNA (214 nucleotides) under Vigna radiata. RNAcentral's name for it is "long non-coding RNA (VRAD_LNC003668)". Lineage: Eukaryota; Viridiplantae; Streptophyta; Magnoliopsida; Fabales; Fabaceae. The record is from RNAcentral.
GCCCAUCUAACAACCGCCCGACGCCGAAUUUCACUCCCGGGUGGUUUCCCUCAAGCCGCAGAACCGCCCGGCGCUGGUCAACUGCACUCUGGGCAACUUUUCAGCAUUAUGGUCAACUGGUUGACUUUUCUGGUUGACUGGUUGACUUUUCUGCACUUCAACCAUUUGAUAAUUCAACCAUUCUUUCAAAUCAUUCCAAAAACCUUUAUCAUUN